This 253-nucleotide ribosomal RNA is filed under the name uncultured bacterium. RNAcentral's name for it is "partial 16S ribosomal RNA". It matches the Rfam family "Bacterial small subunit ribosomal RNA", at positions 524 to 776 of the family's 1533-position model. The record is from RNAcentral.
AACGUAGGAGACGAGCGUUAUCCGGAUUUACUGGGCGUAAAGCGUGUGCAGGCGGUUCGGCAAGUUGGAUGUGAAAUCUCCCGGCUCAACUGGGAGGGGUCGUUCAAUACUACCGAACUUGAGGUCAUCAGAGGAAGAUGGAAUUCCCGGUGUAGUGGUGAAAUGCGUAGAUAUCAGGAGGAACACCCGUGGCGAAGGCGGCUGCCUGGGGCAUCACUGACACUGAGAAGCGAAAGCUAGGGGAGCGAACGGG